Molecule: long non-coding RNA, 3527 nt
Organism: Mercenaria mercenaria
Lineage: Eukaryota; Metazoa; Mollusca; Bivalvia; Venerida; Veneridae
Exons: 5
Source: RefSeq, a predicted model, not a curated record
GACGCAUCAGCCGAUAACUCAACAGUAGCUGUAAUUGCAGUUCUUGCAACACUCUUGGUUGUAGUUUCUACAGCGUCUAGCAUCUUCAAGUUGAAGAAACUCGUAAAGAAAAUACGUUCUACUGACAGGCAACCAGAGCAGUCUAUGGUCCAAAUUAACUUUGACAAUUUAAUGGUAGAAGAACAAACUACACACAAUGAAUGCAACACUAAUGUUUCUGAUGAUGAAAACGUCGCUUAUGAAAUUCUCGAUAGAACCCAAGCCCCAGAACACACGUAUGACACAGCUCCCGAAAGUAUGGGCAAUGUGAGAAACGUAGAAUAUGAGAACUUGCAUUUCUAAACAACUGGACAUUCUACUAUAUAUCUGUGACUGUGUUAAACACCUAGGGACGUCAGGCAAAUAAAAAAAAAACAUGCUUUCUUUGCUUUUUUUAUAUUCUAAUGUUGAUAAUUCUUAUAACAUGGAAAUGGACUUUUGUCCAUUUUUAAUGAUUUCACAAAUGUAUGUAAUACUAUCAGAAUCGAUAUACAGGAUAUAACAUAUUGUACUAUGGAAAUGUAAUUGCAGAAUGGAUAUACGUGUACAUAUGUACAUACGGAAAAAUGUUGGAUAAAUGUAAACGUUUUGCUAUCAGUGAUAUAGAUUCAUUGCCGGUAUAUAAAUUGAUAAUAGUUACUGUACGUGAAACCUAACUUGGUUUAGGAUGUUAUCAUGGUGAGGAGCCAGCUGUGUUCUGAACAGCAUCGACUUGAUUUCAAACAUGCGGAAAGAUAAACACCCAAAUUGAGUAUGAAUACGAUUUCUGAAACUUGAUUCGUCUCGUUAUAAAUACUGAUUUAGUAGCUAAUAGACAUUUUUAAUAUUUGCAUUAUUAUGUCUCCCCCAGGAGACAUAUUGUUUUUGCCCUGUCUGUCCGUCCGUCCUUCCGUCCGUCCGUCCGUCCGUACGUCACACUUCAUUUCCGAGCAAUAACUGGAGAACCAUUUGACCUAGAACCUUCAAACUUCAUAGAGUUGUAGGGCUGCUGGAGUAGACGACCUCUAUAGUUUUUGGGGUCACUCCGUCAAAGGUCAAGGUCACAGGGGCCUGAACAUUGAAAACCAUUUCCGAUCAAUAACUAGAGAACCACUUGACCCAGAAUGUUGAAACUUCAUAGGAUGAUUGGUCAUGAAGAGUAAAUGUCCCCUAUUGAUUUUAGGGUCACUCCAUCAAAGGUCAAGGUCACAGGAGCCUGAACAUGGAAAACCAUUUCCGAUCAAUAACUAGAGAACCACUUGACCCAGAAUGUUGAAACUUCAUAGAAUGAUUGUACAUGCAAAGUAGAUGAUCUCUAUCGAUUUUGGGGUCACUCCAUUAAAGGUCAAGGUCACAGGGGCCUGAACAUUGAAAACCAUUUCCGGUCAGUAACUUGAGAACCACUUGACCCAGAAUGUUGAAACUUCAUAGGAUGAUUGUUCAUGCAGAGUAAAUGACUUCUAACGAUUUUGGGGUCACUUUGUGAAAGGUCAAGGUCACAGGGGCCUGAACAUUGAUAACCAGUUCCGAUCAAUAACUUGAGAACCACUUGACCCAGAAUGUUGAAACUUCAUAGGAUGGUUGAACAUGCAGAGUAGAUGACUUCUAUUGAUUUUGGGGUCAGUCUAUUAAAAGUCAAGGUCAUAGUGGCCUGUUCAUGUAAAAUCAUUUUUUGGAAAUAACUUGAGAACCACUUGACCUACAAUGUUGAAACUUAAUAGGAUGAUUGGGCAUGCAGAGUAGAUGACCCCUAUUUAUUUUGAGGUCAUUUGAUCAAAGGUCAAGGUCACAGGAGCCUGAACAGUGACUUGAGAACCACUAGGCCAAGAGUGUCGAAAUUUAGCGGGAUGACUUGACAUGCCAAGUAGAUGAUCCCUAUUGCAGCCAUCAGUGUCUCUUUGACUUUCGCUCCUGACCCCUAUUGACUUCUUGCCUAUAGGACUUUGCAUUGGGGGAGACAUGCGCUUUUUUACAAAAGCAUUUUCUAGUUUACGUCUGAAACAAAAUCAUUUUUGUGAAAAUUCUUUUUUAAGGAAUAAUAAGGUGUACAAGUAGCUAGUGGCUUAGCUCCCGUUUGAUACAUAUCAGUUUGUUUAAAUAAUAACGCUACAAACUUCAUUGACUUCUGAUUCUACUAUGUAGGCUUUCAGUGUUUAUACACAUGUCUUCACUCCGUACAAUAACGAACAAAAUUUCGAGUAUUACGUAACGUUACAGUAAAUUUUGGAACUAAAGAUCUUUGUCCGGCAAAACUUCAACAGGAUAGCUUUUAGCCUUAUUAUUGCCUAAAUAAUAACUACAUAUACGUAAUCAUAUAACUAACGCACACAAGGUAUUGUACAUAUCGAUUAAGGUAGUUUUGUGGUUUGAAUUUAAUUAACUACUGGUUAUUAUUUAAGGCAAUGACGUUUUUAACGUUUUAAAGCAUUUUGUAUCGGUUUUAUUUACUUUUAAAUUAACUGGAUUUUAGGUUGGCUGCAGUAAAACUGAACAAUGUUUGAUAUUAGCUUUGACAUACAUUUGACAGAAAACAAAAAGAAGAUUUUUUUAUCGAAUGAUUUAGUAUACAACCAAAAUCAGUUAGAAGCUUGUAAAAAGAAUAUAUGAGCUGCUCCAUGAGAAAACCAACAUAGUGGCUUUGCUUUGCGACCAGCAUGGUUCCAGACCAGCCUGCGCAUCCGGAUCCAUGCUGUCCGCUUUCAAAGCCUAUAUCAGUUAGAGAACCCGUUGGCGAACAGCAUGGAUCCUGACCAGACUGCGCGGAUGGUCGCAAACCAACUAUGUUGGUUUUCUCAUUGCGUGGCUCAUAUGUUUUCUUUGUUUUACUUAAUUUGUCAUAACACUCUUACCAACAACAGUUGUAUCACAAUUUAUGGCACAAUAUUGCAUUCAAGUCAGUAGUUUAUACUUAGAGAUAUCCUUUGAUUUAUUGACAUAUUAUUUACUGGUUGUUAUCUUGUAAAAUGCGGUAAGGCUUUGUCAAGGUAAAUGCAUUUCAUGCAUCUUAUGUAUAACUUAAUCUUUAACUUGCUCAUGAAUAAUUAACACACUUUGAUGUACGGAUUUUAUAGCACAUGCAGCGAUUUCACAGGUGUGUUUGCUCGCUCUCAGAACUCGCUCACAAAUGCAUACCCUCACACAUACAUGCACACUUACAUUAACGAACUCUCAUAAAUAGCAAAAACACAUGCAUUUACAGACGCAUUUGUAUACAUAUCUUCAAUCACUCCUUCAUACGAUCCUCACAUCGCAAUGUACUACAAUUCUGAUGUAAAAUUAUGUCUCCAGCAAACUUUCGAUAAACAGCUUUCAAUCACAUUUCAGUGUUUCCUAAAAUAGUCUUAAGAUAUACUUAAUGUAACAUUUUUUUUAAUCGGAAUAUUGUUAUUUUGACAUAGUAUGUUUUAGAGUAUAAUGUAGAAUCUUUAAGAUCUUUAUAGAAUAACCUUCUGCCUGUAUAUUAUAUUAUAUUGUUGGUUGUAUAAUUGCAAUUAUAUAAAUUAAUCUAA